RNAcentral lists this ribosomal RNA (490 nucleotides) under uncultured bacterium. RNAcentral describes it as "partial 16S ribosomal RNA". It matches the Rfam family "Bacterial small subunit ribosomal RNA", at positions 30 to 507 of the family's 1533-position model. The record is from RNAcentral.
AUUGAACGCUGGCGGCAUGCCUAACACAUGCAAGUCGAACGGUAACAGAAAGCAUCUUGCUGCUUUUCUGACGAGUGGCGGACGAGUGAGUAAUGUCUGAGAAACUGCCUGAUGGAGGGGGAUCACUACUGGAAACGGUAGCUAAUACCGCAUAACGUCGCAAGACCAAAGAGGGGGAACUUCGUGCCUCUUGCCAUCGGAUGUGCCCAGAUGGGAUUAGCUAGUAGGUGGGGUAACGGCUCACCUAGGCGACGAUCCCUAGCUGGUCUGAGAGGAUGACCAGCCACACUGGAAUGGAGAGACGGUCCAGACCCGUGAGGGAGGCCACAGUGGGGAAGAUUGCACAAGGGGGGCAAGCCGGAUGCAGCCAGGCCGCGUGUAGGAAGAAGGCCUUCGGGUUGUAAAGUACUUUCAGCGGGGAGGAAGGGAGUAAAGUUAAUACCUUUGCUCAUUGACGUUACCCGCAGAAGAAGCACCGGCUAACUCCGUG